RNAcentral lists this ribosomal RNA (347 nucleotides) under uncultured Oomycota. RNAcentral's name for it is "eukaryotic LSU rRNA". It matches the Rfam family "Eukaryotic large subunit ribosomal RNA", at positions 326 to 593 of the family's 3401-position model. The record is from RNAcentral. Lineage: Eukaryota; Oomycota.
GUGCGAGACCGAUAGCGAACAAGUACCGUGAGGGAAAGAUGAAAAGAACUUUGAAAAGAGAGUUAAAGAGUACCUGAAACUGCUGAAAGGGAAGCGAAUCGUAUCCAGUGUCUAUAAUCUGCGGCAUAUUUCAUUGGCGGCGGUGCGCGUGCUUUUGCGUCGGAAGCGGCUUUUGUUGCUCUGUGCUUUUGCUGUGCGUGGUGUUGCUGGUGCCCUGUGUUGCGGUGGGACGUCAGAGUCAGUUUGUAUGCUGCGGGAAAUGGCUGCCGAGGAGGUAGGUCGAGAUUUCGGUCUUGGCUGUUAUAUCUUGGUGGNUUUGUUGUCGUGGUUGAGACUGAGGUGCCUAC